This 3999-nucleotide long non-coding RNA is filed under the name Salmo salar (Atlantic salmon). Its description in RNAcentral is "lncRNA (ENSSSAG00000114185.1)". The record is from RNAcentral. Lineage: Eukaryota; Metazoa; Chordata; Actinopteri; Salmoniformes; Salmonidae.
CGGAAGAUAUUUCAUACAGAAAACAACAUUUAUUCAGACAUGCUUUAUAAAGCUACAUGUUAAACCGUGUCAAAAAUGUCUACGGGCGUAUAAACCUUAUCAGUCCAAUUAUUAGUAAGACCAUUUGUACAAUGAAAUAUAUUACAUAACAAUUUUACAAACCUCAACAUACAUUUGCAACUCAGCUACAGCUAUAAGCCAGUUUGAGGGGAUAAAUCUAUUGUUUUUCUACAAUGACGGACCAACCAACCACAAGGAGUGUGUGACAAGAUCAAUAACUUAAAUAUUAAGUAGUUCGUAAGAAAAUGUGUUAUGUGCAAUUUGAUAUUCAAAAUAACAAUAGAUGAAUUGACAUAGUAUCUACUGUUAGACCUAAUAGUACAACUUUAAACUUUAAAAAUAUAAAACAAAUCAUGUUUACAUAUUUUACUUCCUAAAGUCUUGGACAAGGCAUUAUCAUCCUUUUGUAAAGGACAAAUGUUAGGUAGGAACCACAUUUGAGUUCCCAUCAAAAUGAAUCAUAUCCUUCUGUUUCAAUUGGUCAAUACCCAAUACCCUCAAACCAAUGAAGCAGACCAAGGUUAAACCUAAUGCUAAGAUAAAAUAAGAAAAUACUUGACAAAGCAUUAAGAUUUCAUAGCCUUAAAAGCCCCUUUAAAACAAAAUGGAUGCCACUAACUGUCUAAUACCACGGUCCUUCAAUACCACUUAGCUUCUAAGUCUUAGUCUGUUUUAGCACAUAGCAACACCUUGGAGUGCAUUUCAGUGUGAUACAAAUUAUCUGGUCUCUGACUAAAGAGAGAUCUAAAGAAGAGAGGAGAUCAGUCAGGAAGUGGCUAGUUCCUGUGUGCCCUAUUUAUAAGCCAAGUGAACGGGCCUGCUUUCAAGAGCACAGGGUAGAUACAACACAACAUUACUGGGGCUAGGUGAGAGUAGAUACAACACAACAUUACUGGGGCUAGGUGAGAGUAGAUACAACACAACAUUACUGGGGCAAGGUGAGAGUAGAUACAACACAACAUUACUGGGGCAAGGUGAGAGUAGAUACAACACAACAUUACUGGGGCAAGGUGAGAGUAGAUACAACACAACAUUACUGGGGCUAGGUGAGAGUAGAUACAACACAACAUUACUGGGGCUAGGUGAGAGUAGAUACAACACAACAUUACUGGGGCUAGGUGAGAGUAGAUACAACACAACAUUACUGGAGCAAGGUGAGAGUAGAUACAACACAACAUUACUGGAGCAAGGUGAGAGUAGAUACAACACAACAUUACUGGGGCUAGGUGAGAGUAGAUACAACACAACAUUACUGGGGCUAGGUGAGAGUAGAUACAACACAACAUUACUGGGGCUAGGUGAGAGUAGAUACAACACAACAUUACUGGGGCAAGGUGAGAGUAGAUACAACACAACAUUACUGGGGCUAGGUGAGAGUAGGCAUCAUAGGUUCUGUACUCACUUUUACAGUAGCUCAGUAAUCAUACCGCCUACACUCUUAGAAAAAAGGGUUCCAAAAGGGUUCUUCGGCUGUCCCAUAGGAUAACUCUUUCUUGUUCCAGGUAGAACUCUUUGGGUUCUUCUGGGGAAAGGGUUCUACAUGGAACCCAGUAGGGUUCUACCUGGAAUCAAAAGGGUUCUUUCUGGAACCAAAAAGGGUUAUUCAAAGUGUUCUAUUGGGACAGCCGAAGAACCCUUUUACGUUCUAGAUUUUUUUCUAAGAGUGUAGUUCCUGUUUUUGCAAUGUGCAGUCUGAAACCUUUUGUGAAAUGUUAUAUAAACCUAGCCUGCAUAGGUAUUUGCCAAAACAGAGUUAAGGGCACAUUUGCUAUGCAUUUGGAUCUGGUGAAAAGUUUGCACCUGUUUUUAUUGGAUGAAACACCAAAGCUAAAACAGCAAACUGUCUUCAUUUAUACUUGAUAAAUGGUUCACUUUCAGAACCUUUAUUCUUACCUUUUCAUUUAACCUUUUAUGUCCAAUUCCCUAUGGUAAACUUACUGUGCAAUCUUGAUACCUGAUGCAAAGUGCAAAUGUUGAAUAAAUGGGGUCCUUAGCGGUCAGAAGAAGGGAGGCUUGUAAAAUAGGUGUGGUGUCAAAUUUGAUGUACAUCCUGCCAUUGAGAUUUGGACUGGCAGAGCUUGUCUCAGACAUUUUAUAAAAGCCCUGAAUAUUCUUUUAACACUUGGAAAGUAGUUAUUCAAGACAAAUAACUUCUCAAGAAAAUUAUAUUUUCAUGAACUACAUAAACACAACCCACCUCAUACACGAUUACUUCAACUACAUAAACACAACCCACCUCAUACACGAUUACUUCAACUACAUAAACACAACCCACCUCAUACACGAUUACUUCAACUACAUAACACAACCCAUCUCAUACACGAUUACUUCAACUACAUAAACACAACCCACCUCAUACACGAUUACUUCAACUACAUAAACACAACCCACCUCAUACACGAUUACUUCAACUACAUAACACAACCCACCUCAUACACGAUUACUUCAACUACAUAAACACAACCCACCUCAUACACGAUUACUUCAACUACAUAACACAACCCACCUCAUACACGAUUACUUCAACUACAUAAACACAACCCACCUCAUACACGAUUACUUCAACUACAUAACACAACCCACCUCAUACACGAUUACUUCAACUACAUAACCCAACCCACCUCAUACACGAUUACUUCAACUACAUAAACACAACCCACCUCAUACACGAUUACUUCAACUACAUAACACAACCCACCUCAUACACGAUUACUUCAACUACAUAAACACAACCCACCUCAUACACGAUUACUUCAACUACAUAAACACAACCCACCUCAUACACGAUUACUUCAACUACAUAAACACAACCCACCUCAUACACGAUUACUUCAACUACAUAAACACAACCCACCUCAUACACGAUUACUUCAACUACAUAACACAACCCACCUCAUACACGAUUACUUCAACUGCAUAAACACAACCCACCUCAUACACGAUUACUUCAACUACAUAAACACAACCCACCUCAUACACGAUUACUUCAACUACAUAAACACAACCCACCUCAUACACGAUUACUUCAACUACAUAACCCAACCCACCUCAUACACGAUUACUUCAACUACAUAACACAACCCACCUCAUACACGAUUACUUCAAAUGUCAUCAUGGUUUGAUUGGCAAGGAGGACUACAGAGGAAACCAAUCUGUAUCCAUUCAAAAUGUGGAUUACAAAAAGUUGCAGGCACUUCCGACAUCCCCUAAGACUUACUUACUUUUGUAACAUCCUUAAACGUAUCAUUAAAAAGUUUGAUCGGCGGUUGUAAGUAUUCAAGUAAAUAUCCUUGGGAAAGUGAUGAUGAUCAAUGUGGAAUGUAAAAAAAACAAAUUUAAGUACAAAAAGUACAAUCAACCUUCAUUUGCAUGAGAAAAGUGAAAGUGGAAAAAAUUGCACUUAGCUAAAUCUCAGCAGAACACUUGCAUAAAUAUGCUGCAUAAUCAGCCAGAAUAAGAAAACACCUGUCGUCCUUCCAAGCUACUACUUUCCAUCACCAUUAACCAAUACAUUUUCCCUACUUCUCCUUCAUAUUUAACAAUCACCAGCUGUUUCUCUUGGCAGUAUUCUCAGAAUGUUUUGAGUCUUUCAUACGCUUGGCCUGCCUGAGGAACUGGUCUGCUUUCCUCAGCUUCUCCAUGGCUCUGGCUAGCAGCUCCUCCGGCGACCUGUCCUCCAGGCCAUCGCCCCCCGCUAGGGCCGAGUUCUGCCCAACCUCGGUGCUCCCUUUAGGGACAACGCUCCCCAGGAGCUCCCCUGUAUUUUCCAGCUCCAUGGCCAGUUCAUUUUCAAGGUCUGUUAAGUCUUGAGGACCCACGGUGGCCUUUGUCCCGGCCACGUCUGUGAUUCGCUGUUUCACGUUUUCACCCAAUGAGGCCUCAGAGAGGAGAUCCCCCAAAGAGGUGGACAUGAGCUUGGCUAAGGGUUUGAAGGGGAUG